RNAcentral lists this ribosomal RNA (487 nucleotides) under Listeria monocytogenes. RNAcentral describes it as "bacterial LSU rRNA". It matches the Rfam family "Bacterial large subunit ribosomal RNA", at positions 1 to 473 of the family's 2925-position model. Lineage: Bacteria; Bacillati; Bacillota; Bacilli; Caryophanales; Listeriaceae. The record is from RNAcentral.
AGUAAAUUGGUUAAGUUAGAAAGGGCGCACGGUGGAUGCCUUGGCACUAGGAGCCGAAGAAGGACGGGACUAACACCGAUAUGCUUUGGGGAGCUGUACGUAAGCGUUGAUCCAGAGAUUUCCGAAUGGGGGAACCCACUAUCUUUAGUCGGAUAGUAUCCUUACGUGAAUACAUAGCGUGAGGAAGGCAGACCCAGGGAACUGAAACAUCUAAGUACCUGGAGGAAGAGAAAGAAAAAUCGAUUUCCUGAGUAGCGGCGAGCGAAACGGAAAGAGCCCAAACCAAGAAGCUUGCUUCUUGGGGUUGUAGGACACUCUAUACGGAGUUACAAAAGAAAGUUAUAAAUGAAGCGGUCUGGAAAGGCCCGCCAAAGACGGUAACAGCCCGGUAGUUGAAAUGGCUUUCCCUCCAGAGUGGAUCCUGAGUACGGCGGAACACGUGAAAUUCCGUCGGAAUCCGGGAGGACCAUCUCCCAAGGCUAAAUAC